Molecule: non-coding RNA, 329 nt
Organism: Mesocricetus auratus (golden hamster)
Lineage: Eukaryota; Metazoa; Chordata; Mammalia; Rodentia; Cricetidae
Source: Rfam
GGAUGUGAGGGCAAUCUGGCUGCGACAUCUGUCUCCCCAUUGAUUGCCAGGGUUGAUUCGGCUGAUCUGGCUGGCUAGGCGGUGUCCCCUUCCUCCCGCACCACUCCAUGUGCGUCCCUCCCAAAGCUGCGCGCUCAGUUGAAGAGGACGACCUUCCCCAAAUAGAGGAGGACCGGUCUUCGGUCAAGGGUAUACAAGUAGCUGUGCUCCCAUGCUAGAACCUCCAAACAGGCUCUCAAAGAACCUCUAAAUUAGAAAACCAAAGGUAUCACUAAUACCUAUCCCCCUGUGCUCCCCACUUAAUGGAAAAUCCAGAUAUGGUAUUAAGU